AACGAACGCUGGCGGCGUGGAUAAGACAUGCAAGUCGAACGGGAGUUAUUUAUAGCAAUAUGAGUGAACUCUAGUGGCGAAAGGGUGCGUAACACGUAGCUACCUACCUCGAAGUUGGGGAUAGCUCGGCGAAAGCCGGAUUAAUACCGAAUGUGAUCGUGAGAUCAAAGCUGGGGAUCGUAAGACCUGGCGCUUUGAGAUGGGGCUGCGGCCUAUCAGGUAGUUGGCGGGGUAAUGGCCCACCAAGCCUAAGACGGGUAGCUGGUCUGAGAGGACGACCAGCCACACUGGAACUGAGACACGGUCCAGACACCUACGGGUGGCAGCAGUCGAGGAUUUUCUCAAUAGGGGAAACCCUGAAGGAGCGACGCCGCGUGAGGGAUGAAGGUUUUCGGAUUGUAAA
This 403-nucleotide ribosomal RNA is filed under the name uncultured bacterium. RNAcentral describes it as "bacterial SSU rRNA". It matches the Rfam family "Bacterial small subunit ribosomal RNA", at positions 29 to 429 of the family's 1533-position model. The record is from RNAcentral.